Molecule: long non-coding RNA, 270 nt
Organism: Dryobates pubescens (Downy woodpecker)
Lineage: Eukaryota; Metazoa; Chordata; Aves; Piciformes; Picidae
Exons: 3
Source: RefSeq, a predicted model, not a curated record
AUGAGUGAAACCCCCCUGGUCACUUGUUGAGGAGGCUGCUGCUGGCCUGUGGCCUCUGACCUUCCGGGUGAGGCUGUGCCCCCCUCCCCGGGGGCCUUCCCUGGCGUGGGUUCAUGUCUCUGAAGCGGCGUCUGCAGCCCUCCGAGGAUCCUCUCCCUGCUGCCAGGAAUGAAGGUCUCUGCUGCCCGUUGGCUCUUGGCCUGGCUCGCUGCAGGAGAAGCCUCAGGGCAGCGAUCGGCAGCUGAGCGGCGCCCUGCCCGCCAUGGCUGG